ACUCGGCUCACGCUACCACCCUGGAUCCCACGGCUGCCAAAGGCAAGCCAGGCACAGAGCCAGGUACAGAGUGGCAAGGGGUUUGUGAGCAAGUGAUCGUGGGGUCUGGCCACUGCACACAGCCAGGCACGCCAGCUGCUGCGGCAGGGCAUGCAGCUCCAGGAACCGGCACCGGCACCAGCUCCUUGCGAGGCUGCAGCUGGACCAGGUGUACCACAGGCGGCUUCCGCUGCAAGUACCAGGGUCUGGAUGAGGGGAACACAGUGGCACCCAAAAACCUGAGUGAGACGCCAGCAACCACAGAGGCCAAAGAGACUUCUUAAAGCUAAUUUCCAACUCUUCCUGCCUGCAAUGAAGAGCAAGAAGUGAUUAAACUGUUCAAUUGCACAAUCAACUGACAAACAACAAUCUACAUGACACCUUCAAGAAAGGGAUUAAUCUCCACAUGGCACAAAGAUACCAUCAAGGAUACAACAUACAUGAAGUUGUCACAUCUCUUUAAGCUCAUCUUAGCAGCCACUAUUCCUCAGAACUUUCUUUGGCUUUGAUGACCUUUUCAGUUUUUGAGAAGUAUUGGUCAGGUAUAUUUUAGACUGCUAUUCUAUCAGAAUUUGUCUUGUUUUCCUCAUGACUAGACUGAGGUGAUGGAUUUGGCAGGUGGAGAUGAAAUUGCUGAAAUUAUUCCAGUUUUGGUCUUUGGGAGCUCGUGCAGAUGGUUCCUAUGCCACUUUGACAUAGUUCCAUCAAUGUAUUUUUUUCUUUCCUUUAGCACUUCUUUACUUUCGGGUACUGUAAGACACCCUAAACUCAUCUUGUAUAUUUUCUGCCUCAGUCCUAGAAUCUGCCAUUUUGCCAAGGAACGCUUGUUCAUCUUAUUGGAUAAUGAUGUUAGAAAUCAAGAUUUGGGUACUAAACGUGCUUUUGCUACUGGGAUGUUGCUUCUUUUAGUUUCUCUUAGCCAAUGAAGCAAAGGAAUAUACAAUAUAAGUGUUUGCUAACCUGAGUGUGUAUACACACCUAUAAAUACUUCUGUAUUUAACCAUCUGCCUCUAUUUUAGUUAAACAUGAAUUCUUAAUAAUAUCUCCAACUCUAACCCAUUAUAGCAUGGAUCAAUAUAGCUCCUCCUGUUGCUGAUCUGUAAAUUUCCACUCCAGCAGUCAGAAAUCAGGUUCGCAUUUGCCAUUCAUUUCUUAAUUGUUCAAUGCCAGUACACAUGUACAGUAUCAUCAAAAUUGUUAAACUGUCCUCGUAAAAGAAACUUUAUUAGAGUGCUUAUGUGCAGCGUCUUUUUCUUUAGUUAUGUAGACUCUAUUUUCAGUUACUUCCGUCAGCCCCUUUCCCUCACCACCUUUGUUAGAAUAUUUCAUUUGUAAUACAGUGAAAUCCUCAUGUUUGUCAUAAUCUGCAUUCUUUCCUAGGAUACCCUGACUUCCUGCAUAACUUUUUAAAAUUGGCAAAUAUUAUGGUUUAUUCUUUUUGUAGUAAAGUUCUACAGGAUUUGAUAAAUGCAUAACGUCAUGCAUCCACCAUUAAAGAAUCAUAAAGAAUAGUUUCACUAUCCUAGAAUUCCCUUGUAUUUCAUUUAUUUGGUCCUCCUCUCUUCUCCAACCACCAAACUUUUUA
Molecule: long non-coding RNA, 1624 nt
Filed under: Homo sapiens (human)
Lineage: Eukaryota; Metazoa; Chordata; Mammalia; Primates; Hominidae
Description: HSALNT0297285
Source: RNAcentral